Molecule: ribosomal RNA, 380 nt
Filed under: uncultured Halomonas sp.
Lineage: Bacteria; Pseudomonadati; Pseudomonadota; Gammaproteobacteria; Oceanospirillales; Halomonadaceae
Description: bacterial SSU rRNA
Rfam family: Bacterial small subunit ribosomal RNA
Source: RNAcentral
UGGGGAAUAUUGGACAAUGGGCGAAAGCCUGAUCCAGCCAUGCCGCGUGUGUGAAGAAGGCCCUCAGGUUGUAAAGCACUUUCAGUGGGGAAGAAAGCCUCGGGAUUAAUACUUCCGAGGGAGGACAUCACCCACAGAAGAAGCACCGGCUAACUCCGUGCCAGCAGCCGCGGUAAUACGGAGGGUGCGAGCGUUAAUCGGAAUUACUGGGCGUAAAGCGCGCGUAGGUGGCUUGAUAAGCCGGUUGUGAAAGCCCCGGCGUCAACCUGGGAACGGCAUCCGGAACUGUCAGGCUAGAGUGCAGGAGAGGAAGGUAGAAUUCCCGGUGUAGCGGUGAAAAUGCGUAGAGAUCGGGAGGAAUACCAGUGGCGAAGGCGGCC